This 493-nucleotide ribosomal RNA is filed under the name uncultured bacterium. RNAcentral describes it as "partial 16S ribosomal RNA". It matches the Rfam family "Bacterial small subunit ribosomal RNA", at positions 30 to 523 of the family's 1533-position model. The record is from RNAcentral.
AUUGAACGCUGGCGGCAUGCCUUACACUUGCAAGUCGUACGGUAACAGGUUAAGCUGACGAGUGGCGAACGGGUGAGUAAUAUAUCGGAACGUGCCCAGUCGUGGGGGAUAACUGCUCGAAAGAGCAGCUAAUACCGCAUACGACCUGAGGGUGAAAGCGGGGGAUCGCAAGACCUCGCGCGAUUGGAGCGGCCGAUAUCAGAUUAGGUAGUUGGUGGGGUAAGAGCCCACCAAGCCAACGAUCUGUAGCUGGUCUGAGAGGACGACCAGCCACGCUGGGACUGAGACACGGCCCAGACUCCUACGGGAGGCAGCAGUGGGGAAUUUUGGACAAUGGGCGCAAGCCUGAUCCAGCCAUGCCGCGUGCGGGAAGAAGGCCUUCGGGUUGUAAACCGCUUUUGUCAGGGAAGAAAAGGUUCUGGUUAAUACCUGGGACUCAUGACGGUACCUGAAGAAUAAGCACCGGCUAACUACGUGCCAGCAGCCGCCGUAA